RNAcentral lists this ribosomal RNA (466 nucleotides) under Pseudomonas putida. RNAcentral's name for it is "bacterial SSU rRNA". It matches the Rfam family "Bacterial small subunit ribosomal RNA", at positions 33 to 496 of the family's 1533-position model. The record is from RNAcentral. Lineage: Bacteria; Pseudomonadati; Pseudomonadota; Gammaproteobacteria; Pseudomonadales; Pseudomonadaceae.
ACGCUGGCGGCAGCCUAACACAUGCAAGUCGAGCGGAUGACGGGAGCUUGCUCCUUGAUUCAGCGGCGGACGGGUGAGUAAUGCCUAGGAAUCUGCCUGGUAGUGGGGGACAACGUUCCGAAAGGAGCGCUAAUACCGCAUACGUCCUACGGGAGAAAGUGGGGGAUCUUCGGACCUCACGCUAUCAGAUGAGCCUAGGUCGGAUUAGCUAGUUGGUGAGGUAAAGGCUCACCAAGGCGACGAUCCGUAACUGGUCUGAGAGGAUGAUCAGUCACACUGGAACUGAGACACGGUCCAGACUCCUACGGGAGGCAGCAGUGGGGAAUAUUGGACAAUGGGCGAAAGCCUGAUCCAGCCAUGCCGCGUGUGUGAAGAAGGUCUUCGGAUUGUAAAGCACUUUAAGUUGGGAGGAAGGGCAGUAAGUUAAUACCUUGCUGUUUUGACGUACCGACAGAAUAAGCACCGG